This 446-nucleotide ribosomal RNA is filed under the name uncultured bacterium. RNAcentral's name for it is "bacterial SSU rRNA". It matches the Rfam family "Bacterial small subunit ribosomal RNA", at positions 331 to 794 of the family's 1533-position model. The record is from RNAcentral.
CCAGACUCCUACGGGAGGCAGCAGUGGGGGAUAUUGCACAAUGGAGGAAACUCUGAUGCAGCGACGCCGCGUGAGGGAAGACGGUCUUCGGAUUGUAAACCUCUGUCUUUGGGGAAGAAAAUGACGGUACCCAAAGAGGAAGCUCCGGCUAACUACGUGCCAGCAGCCGCGGUAAUACGUAGGUGGCAAGCGUUAUCCGGAUUUAUUGGGUGUAAAGGGCGUGUAGGCGGGAAAGCAAGUCAGAUGUGAAAACUCAGGGCUCAACCCUGAGCCUGCAUUUGAAACUGUAGGUCUUGAGUAUCGGAGAGGCAGGCGGAAUUCCUAGUGUAGCGGUGAAAUGCGUAGAUAUUAGGAGGAACACCAGUGGCGAAGACGGCCUGCUGGACGACAACUGACGGUGAGGCGCGAAAGCGUGGGGAGCAAACAGGAUUAGAUACCCCGGUACC